This 498-nucleotide ribosomal RNA is filed under the name uncultured bacterium. RNAcentral describes it as "partial 16S ribosomal RNA". It matches the Rfam family "Bacterial small subunit ribosomal RNA", at positions 28 to 523 of the family's 1533-position model. The record is from RNAcentral.
GAUGAACGCUAGCGGCAGGCCUAAUACAUGCAAGUCGAACGGGAUUGGGGAGCUUGCUCCCCAUGAGAGUGGCGCACGGGUGCGUAACGCGUGAGCAACCUGCCCGUCCCAGGGGGAUAGCCCGUUGAAAGACGGAUUAACACCGCAUGACGUAGUUAACUGGCAUCAGUAUACUACCAAAUAUUAAUAGGGGACGGAUGGGCUCGCGUGACAUUAGCUGGUUGGAGAGGUAACGGCUCACCAAGGCGACGAUGUCUAGGGGCUCUGAGAGGAGAAUCCCCCACACUGGUACUGAGACACGGACCAGACUCCUACGGGAGGCAGCAGUAAGGAAUAUUGGUCAAUGGGCGGAAGCCUGAACCAGCCAUGCCGCGUGCAGGAAGACGGCCCUACGGGUUGUAAACUGCUUUUGUACGGGAAUAAUUCCUAUUAUGUAUAAUAGGUUGAAUGUACCGUAAGAAUAAGGAUCGGCUAACUCCGUGCCAGCCGCCGCCGUAA